AACCUUUAAACUUUGAUCACUAGGCCAUGGUGUUUCCACCAUUAGGUUAUCAUUGGAGUUUUCUAGAAGCAUCUCGAGGCCUUUCUGUUCUUAAUCCCAUUAGAGCUCCACCGGAGCUAUUGCCAAGUUUUCUAUAAAUUCUUUGAUAAAGAGGUUAUAUGAGAAGCAACAAAAGCAGAGACCGCUCUCCCUUCCGGUUGCGUCUUCUUCCUCUUCGCAUUCACAUCUGUCUCUUUGUCCUCUCAUGCCUAAGAUCAUGAUAAACUUCACUGCCGUGCUCUCUUGUUGAUGACUGAACCAAGUACAAGCUAAGGGCUAAACAACUUUUUUACAUUACUGUUUAUGGAGGCAUCAAAGUGGCUAUCAAGAUGUCUUGGUCCCAGAAGCUAACAUAUAACUAUGGACAGUUUUUCCCUAGACGUUCUUUUCAACUUUCCUGAGUAUGUGACUCCUGCGGUUUAGAAAAUCUCAAAGAGUGAGAAGAUUCACUUGAGUGUUAACGUCAAUACUGGACAUGCACCAUGAUAUUUCAGGGUUGUGUUUCUUCUUUAUAUCUUAUAUCUUUCUAAUACAAUCAUGUAUUACAUGAAGAAUGAAGAAAGGCGGAACUUAGGGAAGUUAGGUUUGCAUAUGAAGCAGAUGUUUUGAAGUGGUCAAACACAAAUUUUAGCUUUUCUUGUACGAUAUGAACUUUAUAUACCGCAUAGGCCUUGGCCUUUCAUCCGCGCUGAA
This is a long non-coding RNA of Brassica oleracea var. oleracea, 732 nucleotides long. RefSeq lists it as uncharacterized. The record is from RefSeq and is a predicted model, not a curated record. The transcript is spliced from 3 exons. NCBI's taxonomy places the organism in Eukaryota, Viridiplantae, Streptophyta, Magnoliopsida, Brassicales, Brassicaceae.